UAUGUCGGUGUGAAUCGUGAGGCUCAACCUCACGGCUAUGCCCGAAACUGACAAGCUAGAGCAUGAGAGGGGUACCUGGAAUUCCUGGUGUAGGAGUGAAAUCCGUAGAUAUCAGGAGGAACACCAAUGGCGUAGGCAGGGUACUGGCUCAUUGCUGACGCUCAGGCACGAAAGCGUGGGGAGCGAACGGGAUUAGAUACCCCGGUAGUCCACGCCGUAAACGAUGAGUGCUA
This 233-nucleotide ribosomal RNA is filed under the name uncultured Candidatus Saccharibacteria bacterium. RNAcentral describes it as "partial 16S ribosomal RNA". It matches the Rfam family "Bacterial small subunit ribosomal RNA", at positions 584 to 818 of the family's 1533-position model. Lineage: Bacteria; Candidatus Saccharimonadota. The record is from RNAcentral.